UAGCAUUCAGAAGCGAGAAUGUUGACAUGAGUAGCGACAAAGCGGGUGAGAGACCCGCUCGCCGAAAGUCCAAGGGUUCCUGCUUAAAGCUAAUCUGAGCAGGGUGAGCCGACCCCUAAGGCGAGGCCGAAAGGCGUAGUCGAUGGGAACCAGGUUAAUAUUCCUGGGCCAGGAGGAAGUGACGGAUCGUAGCUGUUGUCUGGUCUUAUCGGAUUGAUCAGGCUUCGAAGCGGUCCCUGGAAAUAGCCCUCCAUGAGAUCGUACCCUAAACCGACACAGGUGGACUGGUAGAGCAUACCAAGGCGCUUGAGAGAACUACGUUGAAGGAACUCGGCAAAAUGCCUCCGUAACUUCGGGAGAAGGAGGCCCCGUUGGUGGGCAACCACUGGCGGGGGGCACAAACUAGGGGGUGGCGACUGUUUACUAAAAACACAGGACUCUGCGAAGCCCAAAGGCGACGUAUAGGGUCUGACGCCUGCCCGGUGCCGGAAGGUUAAAAGGAGGAGUGCAAGCUCUGAAUUGAAGCCCCGGUAAACGGCGGCCGUAACAAUAACGGUCCUAAGGUAGCGAAAUUCCUUGUCGGGUAAGUUCCGACCUGCACGAAUGGCGUAACGACUUCCCCGCUGUCUCCAACGUAGACUCAGCGAAAUUGAAUUCCCCGUGAAGAUGCGGGGUUCCCGCGGUCAGACGGAAAGACCCCGUGCACCUUUACUACAGCUUCACACUGGCAUCAGGUCAGGCAUGUGCAGGAUAGGUGGUAGGCUUUGAAGCGGGGACGCCAGUUCCCGGGGAGCCUCCCUUGAGAUACCACCCUUGCCUUGCCUGAUGUCUAACCGCGGACCGUUAUCCGGUUCCGGGACCCUGUGUGGCGGGUAGUUUGACUGGGGCGGUCGCCUCCCAAAGAGUAACGGAGGCGCGCGAUGGUGGGCUCAGGUUGGUCGGAAAUCAACCGUCGAGUGCAAUGGCAUAAGCCCGCCUGACUGCGAGACUGACAAGUCGAGCAGAGACGAAAGUCGGCCAUAGUGAUCCGGUGGUCCCGCGUGGAAGGGCCAUCGCUCAACGGAUAAAAGGUACGCCGGGGAUAACAGGCUGAUACUGCCCAAGAGUCCAUAUCGACGGCAGUGUUUGGCACCUCGAUGUCGGCUCAUCACAUCCUGGGGCUGGAGAAGGUCCCAAGGGUACGGCUGUUCGCCGUUUAAAGUGGUACGUGAGCUGGGUUUAGAACGUCGUGAGACAGUUCGGUCCCUAUCUGCCGUGGGUGUCGGAGACUUGAGAGGAGUUGCCCCUAGUACGAGAGGACCGGGGUGAACGCACCACUGGUGGACCUGUUGUCGUGCCAACGGCAGUGCAGGGUAGCUAUGUGCGGACAGGAUAACCGCUGAAGGCAUCUAAGCGGGAAGCCCCCCUCAAAACCAGGUCUCCCUUGAGGGCCGUGGAAGACCACCACGUCGAUAGGCCGGAGGUAUAAGUGCAGCAAUGCAUUCAGCCGACCGGUACUAAUCGCAC
Molecule: ribosomal RNA, 1506 nt
Filed under: metagenome
Description: bacterial LSU rRNA
Rfam family: Bacterial large subunit ribosomal RNA
Source: RNAcentral